AAAGUCGUAACAAGGUUUCCGUAGGUGAACCUGCGGAAGGAUCAUUAUUGAAGAAUUAGAGUGCACUUUAUUGUGGCUCGACCCUUCACUACCCACUCACACUGUGCACUGUAACACUUUUUUUAUACACCUAACUUGUCUUUUGAAUGUAAUAUCUUAUAAAGUUAAUAAAACUUUCAACAACGGAUCUCUUGGCUCUC
Molecule: unclassified non-coding RNA, 200 nt
Filed under: Basidiomycota sp.
Lineage: Eukaryota; Fungi; Basidiomycota
Description: partial contains small subunit ribosomal RNA, internal transcribed spacer 1, and 5.8S ribosomal RNA
Rfam family: Eukaryotic small subunit ribosomal RNA (bases 1-47)
Source: RNAcentral